UACGUAGGGGGCAAGCGUUGUCCGGAAUCAUUGGGCGUAAAGAGCGUGUAGGCGGCCCGAUAAGUCCGCUGUGAAAGUCCAGGGCUCAACCCUGGGAUGCCGGUGGAUACUGUCGGGCUCGAGUCCGGAAGAGGCGAGUGGAAUUCCUGGUGUAGCGGUGAAAUGCGCAGAUAUCAGGAGGAACACCGGUGGCGAAGGCGGAUCUCUGGGCCUUACCUGACGCUGAGGCGCGAAAGCUAGGGGAGCAAACAGG
This 253-nucleotide ribosomal RNA is filed under the name uncultured bacterium. Its description in RNAcentral is "partial 16S ribosomal RNA". It matches the Rfam family "Bacterial small subunit ribosomal RNA", at positions 524 to 776 of the family's 1533-position model. The record is from RNAcentral.